Molecule: ribosomal RNA, 483 nt
Filed under: uncultured bacterium
Lineage: Bacteria
Description: bacterial SSU rRNA
Rfam family: Bacterial small subunit ribosomal RNA
Source: RNAcentral
AGAGUUUGAUCAUGGCUCAGGAUAAACGCUGGCGGCGCACAUAAGACAUGCAAGUCGAACGGACUUAACCAUUAGUUUACUAUUGGAGCGGUUAGUGGCGGACUGGUGAGUAACACGUAAGCAACCUGCCUGUUAGAGGGGAACAACAGUUAGAAAUGACUGCUAAUACCGCAUAUGCCUUGAGUAUCGCAUGGUACAAGAGGGAAAGGAGCAAUCCGCUAACAGAUGGGCUUGCGUCUGAUUAGAUAGUUGGUGGGGUAACGGCCUACCAAGUCGACGAUCAGUAGCCGGACUGAGAGGUUGAACGGCCACAUUGGGACUGAGAUACGGCCCAGACUCCUACGGGAGGCAGCAGUCGGGAAUAUUGCGCAAUGGAGGAAACUCUGACGCAGUGACGCCGCGUGCAGGAAGAAGGUUUUCGGAUUGUAAACUGCUUUAGACAGGGAAGAACAAAUGACAGUACCCGUAGAAUAAGCUCCGCGG